Molecule: ribosomal RNA, 775 nt
Filed under: uncultured Neocallimastigales
Lineage: Eukaryota; Fungi; Neocallimastigomycota; Neocallimastigomycetes; Neocallimastigales
Description: partial large subunit ribosomal RNA
Rfam family: Eukaryotic large subunit ribosomal RNA
Source: RNAcentral
UUCAGACGAUGCGUCAUGCAUAUCAAUAAGCGGAGGAAAAGAAACUAACAAGGAUUCCCCUAGUAACGGCGAGUGAAGCGGGAAGAGCUCAAAUUUGAAAUCUUAAAGGGUUUCCCUUUACGAAUUGUAGUUUAAAGAAGUGUUUUCUGUUGAGGUUCUGGUAAAAGUUCUUUGGAAUAGGACAUCAUAGAGGGUGAGAAUCCCGUAUUUGACCUUUACUUUCAACUUUGUGAUACACUUUCAAAGAGUCGGAUUGUUUGGGAAUGCAGUCCAAAAUGGGUGGUAAAUUUCAUCUAAAGCUAAAUAUUGGCGAGAGACCGAUAGCGAACAAGUACCGUGAGGGAAAGAUGAAAAGAACUUUGAAAAGAGAGUUAAACAGUACGUGAAAUUGUCAAAAGGGAAGCGUUUGACACCAGUGUUGUUUUUCUGAAAAUCAAUUAAAGAACUGUUUAUGCUAAGUUGUUUAGACUUUAUCAGCUAACUGUUUAGUUUUGAGCUUUUCUUUAAUGCACUUUUCAGUUAACAAGUCAACAUCAAUUUCUUUUGCUGUAAAAAAGCUUGAGGAAGGUGGCUUGAGAUUCGUCUUAAGUGUUUAUAGCCUCUUGCCUAUGCAGUCGGAGAGAUUGAGGUCUGCAGCGUAGAUCCUUCGGGGCUAAAUGCAUUUGUGCUAAGUUAUAGCAUUUUAUAGACAACUUGUUGACUAUGAUUUGUCUUGUAGCUUACUCGCUUAUGUUAUUUUACCUACGCUUAGGAUGUUGAAUCUGUGCGAGACUAC